GGAAAAGAAACCAACAGGGAUUACCUCAGUAACGGCGAGUGAAGCGGUAACAGCUCAAAUUUGAAAUCUGGCCCUUUCAGGGUCCGAGUUGUAAUUUGUAGAAGAUGCUUUGGGUGUGGCCCGGGUCUAAGUUCCUUGGAACAGGACGUCAUAGAGGGUGAGAAUCCCGUAUGUGACUCGGCGCCUUCGCCCGUGUAAAGCUCUUUCGACGAGUCGAGUUGUUUGGGAAUGCAGCUCAAAAUGGGUGGUAAAUUUCAUCUAAAGCUAAAUAUUGGCCAGAGACCGAUAGCGCACAAGUAGAGUGAUCGAAAGAUGAAAAGCACUUUGGAAAGAGAGUUAAACAGUACGUGAAAUUGUUGAAAGGGAAGCGCUUGCAACCAGACUUAGCGGCGGUCGAUCAUCCGGGGUUCUCCCCGGUGCACUCGGUCGCCUCUAGGCCAGCAUCGGUUUGGGUGGUGGGAUAAAGGCCUUGGGAAUGUAGCUUCUUUCGGGGAGUGUUAUAGCCCUCGGUGCAAUGCCGCCUACCCGGACCGAGGACCGCGCUUCGGCUAGGAUGCUGGCGUAAUGGUUGUAAGCGAC
Molecule: ribosomal RNA, 579 nt
Filed under: Lachnum nudipes
Lineage: Eukaryota; Fungi; Ascomycota; Leotiomycetes; Helotiales; Lachnaceae
Description: eukaryotic LSU rRNA
Rfam family: Eukaryotic large subunit ribosomal RNA
Source: RNAcentral